Molecule: transfer RNA, 72 nt
Filed under: Camelus bactrianus (Bactrian camel)
Lineage: Eukaryota; Metazoa; Chordata; Mammalia; Artiodactyla; Camelidae
Also listed under: 2 other names
Rfam family: tRNA
About the family: Transfer RNA (tRNA) molecules are approximately 80 nucleotides in length. Their secondary structure includes four short double-helical elements and three loops (D, anti-codon, and T loops). Further hydrogen bonds mediate the characteristic L-shaped molecular structure. tRNAs have two regions of fundamental functional importance: the anti-codon, which is responsible for specific mRNA codon recognition, and the 3' end, to which the tRNAs corresponding amino acid is attached (by aminoacyl-tRNA synthetases). tRNAs cope with the degeneracy of the genetic code in two manners: having more than one tRNA (with a specific anti-codon) for a particular amino acid; and 'wobble' base-pairing, i.e. permitting non-standard base-pairing at the 3rd anti-codon position.
Source: Rfam by way of RNAcentral
GUAGGUUUAGCUCAGUGGUAGAGUGCAUGCUUAGCACACACGAGGUCCUGGGUUCAACCCCCACUACCUCCA